Molecule: unclassified non-coding RNA, 395 nt
Filed under: soil metagenome
Description: partial contains 5.8S ribosomal RNA, internal transcribed spacer 2, and large subunit ribosomal RNA
Rfam family: 5.8S ribosomal RNA (bases 1-122)
Source: RNAcentral
GAUGAAGAACGUAGUGAAAUGCGAUACUUGGUGUGAAUUGCAGAAUCCCGUGAACCAUCGAGUUUUUGAACGCAAGUUGCGCCCGAAGCCAUCAGGUUGAGGGCACGUCUGCCUGGGCGUCACAUAUCGUUGCCCUAUGCCUAUUGCAGUGCAAUAGGAAUUUCUAGGGCGAAUGAUGGCUUCCCGUGAGCGUUGUUGCCUCGCGGUUGGUUGAAAAUCGAGUCCUUGGUAGGGUGUGCCAUGGUAGAUGGUGGUCGAGUUAGAACGAUACCGAUCAUGUGCAUGCCCCCCAAAAUAUGGCCUCUAUGACCCACACGCGUCUUUUGACGCUCAUGACGAGACCUCAGGUCAGGCGGGGCUACCCGCUGAAUUUAAGCAUAUCAAUAAGCGGAGGA